UGGGGAAUAUUGGACAAUGGGCGAAAGCCUGAUCCAGCCAUGCCGCGUGUGUGAAGAAGGUCUUCGGAUUGUAAAGCACUUUAAGUUGGGAGGAAGGGCAGUAAGCGAAUACCUUGCUGUUUUGACGUUACCGACAGAAUAAGCACCGGCUAACUCUGUGCCAGCAGCCGCGGUAAUACAGAGGGUGCAAGCGUUAAUCGGAAUUACUGGGCGUAAAACGCGCGUAGGUGGUUCGUUAAGUUGAAUGUGAAAGCCCCGGGCUCAACCUGGGAACUGCAUCCAAAACUGGCGAGCUAGAGUAGGGCAGAGGGUGGUGGAAUUUCCUGUGUAGCGGUGAAAUGCGUAGAUAUAGGAAGGAACACCAGUGGCGAAGGCGACCACCUGGGCUCAUACUGACGCUGAGGUGCGAAAGCGUGGGGAGCAAACAGG
Molecule: ribosomal RNA, 429 nt
Filed under: Pseudomonadota bacterium
Lineage: Bacteria; Pseudomonadati; Pseudomonadota
Description: Proteobacteria bacterium partial 16S ribosomal RNA
Rfam family: Bacterial small subunit ribosomal RNA
Source: RNAcentral